This 276-nucleotide long non-coding RNA is filed under the name Brassica napus (rape). RNAcentral describes it as "long non-coding RNA (BNAP_LNC027191)". The record is from RNAcentral. Lineage: Eukaryota; Viridiplantae; Streptophyta; Magnoliopsida; Brassicales; Brassicaceae.
AUAAAGAUAUACAAAUAGAGGUGGCUGAAGAUGCUCUUAAUGACCUUAAACGUUAUAUAUUAUUUCAGGGGUUUAAGGCAAAUACCUCUUUGAUUACACUAUAAGUACGGGUCUGAUCGCAGACAAUGUUUUGAGCAAAAAACUUGUUUAACACUUCUAGAGAUUUGAUUAGUUAUAUGUUAUCGCAAACAAUGUGUUUGCUUGUGGUAGUGUGUGGUAGUAAUUGAUAGCGUACAAUAACAAUCACGAUAAAUGAUUUUUACUGUUACAUACCAU